Molecule: unclassified non-coding RNA, 277 nt
Filed under: uncultured fungus
Lineage: Eukaryota; Fungi
Description: sequence contains ITS1
Source: RNAcentral
GUAUAAGGUUUAAAGGCACUGGAGCCCAAUUUUACAUUCUGUUACAUACUACGGGUAUAUGAAAAAAAACGUAGGCUUGGAAGUGCAAAGAAAGCCGACGCAAAGAGCGCAGCAUUCCUCCCGACCGAGUUACCUCGGAAAAUUCAUCCAGGUCUACAAGAGGUGCACAGGUGGAGAGAUGAGGAUGGCGGGUGUGCACAUGCCCCCACAAGAGAGCCAGCAACAACCACACCAAAUUCAUUCAAUAAUGAUCCUUCCGCAGGUUCACCUACGGAAA